GACGAACGCUGGCGGCGUGCUUAACACAUGCAAGUCGAACGGAAAGGCCCUGCUUGCAGGGUGCUCGAGUGGCGAACGGGUGAGUAACACGUGGGUGAUCUGCCCCUUACUUUGGGAUAAGCCUGGGAAACUGGGUCUAAUACUGGAUAGGACCAUGCUGUAGGUGGUGUGGUGGAAAGAUUAGUUUCGGUAAGGGAUGAGCUCGCGGCCUAUCAGCUCGUUGGUGGGGUAAUGGCCUACCAAGGCGUCGACGGGUAGCCGGCCUGAGAGGGUGGACGGCCACAUUGGGACUGUGAUACGGCCCAGACUCCUACGGGAGGCAGCAGUGGGGAAGAUUGCACAAUGGGCGCAAGCCUGAUGCAGCGACGCCGCGUGGGGGAUGACGGCCUUCGGGUUGUAAACUCCUUUCAGCCAUGACGAAGCCCUUGUGGUGACGGUAGUGGUAGAAGAAGCACCGGCUAACUACGUG
Molecule: ribosomal RNA, 469 nt
Filed under: uncultured bacterium
Lineage: Bacteria
Description: partial 16S ribosomal RNA
Rfam family: Bacterial small subunit ribosomal RNA
Source: RNAcentral